GUCCUAUUGUAUUAUUUAAUAGGUCUGGCCUGCCCAGUGAUAAUUUCAACGGCCGCGGUAUAUUGACCGUGCAAAGGUAGCAUAAUCAUUAGUCUUUUAAUAGGAGGCUGGAAUGAAAGGUUUAACGAGAAAUUAACUGUCUCAAUUGCAAUCUUGAAUUUAUCUUUUGAGUCAAAAGACUUAAAUUUAAUUGGUGGACGAGAAGACCCUAUAGAGCUUGACAAUUAUUUUUUUUCUAUUUACUUAGUCAAAUUAUUUAUUUAUAUUAAAAAUAUUGUUUUGUUGGGGUGACAAUAAAUAUAUAUUUAACUUUUAUCAUAGUGUUAACAUUAAUAUAUGAUUUUUGGAUCCAAAAAUUUUGAUCAUUAGAUUAAGUUACC
This 380-nucleotide ribosomal RNA is filed under the name Ischnura heterosticta. RNAcentral's name for it is "partial large subunit ribosomal RNA". The stretch from base 1 to 184 matches the Rfam family "Archaeal large subunit ribosomal RNA", at positions 1908 to 2143 of the family's 2987-position model. The record is from RNAcentral. Lineage: Eukaryota; Metazoa; Arthropoda; Insecta; Odonata; Coenagrionidae.